UCACAUCUGGAGGAACUCGCAGGAAUGCAGUUUUCUUUACUUGAAAUCGAGAAUACAGAAAAGCCAACUUCCACAGUUGACAUUUGUCCUUCCACUUCUCUGACUGGCUGUUAUGGAUCAAAGCAAGACUUGAGAGCACCCAGAUUGAAAUGAAUGCUCUGCUGUAAGUUCACCCACGGCAGUGAAGCUGUUCUCCUGAAACACUAUCACUUU
This is a long non-coding RNA of Micropterus dolomieu (smallmouth bass), 213 nucleotides long. RefSeq lists it as uncharacterized. NCBI's taxonomy places the organism in Eukaryota, Metazoa, Chordata, Actinopteri, Centrarchiformes, Centrarchidae. The transcript is spliced from 3 exons. The record is from RefSeq and is a predicted model, not a curated record.